Erinaceus europaeus (western European hedgehog) is the source of this 125-nucleotide small nucleolar RNA. The record is from Ensembl. NCBI's taxonomy places the organism in Eukaryota, Metazoa, Chordata, Mammalia, Eulipotyphla, Erinaceidae.
UCCAGUGUUCAAUUCAGGACAGUUUUCCUGUUCUGUUAAUUUAAAUUUUGGAUAUUGAAACUUAGACUAAGGGGGGUGAUUGGGUAGAAGUACUACUCUAUUAAAUUACUUCCCAAGCUACAAAA